CUCCAAUCAGCGGCCGCGCUGCCGGGCAGGGGUUAACCAGGGCACCCCGCGCCGGCUGAGGAGGCCGCACCUCGCCGGACGGCUGAGGGCGGGCGACGGGCGGCGCCGGCGGACGGGCCGCGACGCCAGGGAAGGUCAGGCGGCCCGGGGCGUCCUGCGACUGCCCGAGGUCGGAGGCCCGGAGGACCCGCCGCCGCCUUUGUGUCACCAGCCCCCGCCCCGCUGGACUGGCCCGGGCCGGGGCGGUUGGGCCGGCGCUGAAGAGGCUUGGCCGCCCGGGUCCACCCGUUCCCGGAUCCGCCUCGGCGGCCCCCGCGCCCGCCCAACCCCUGCCCAACCCCUCGGCUCCGCGAGUUUGGGUGAGAAGUGCGGCGGCUUUUCCCAGGGAUGGAGUUUAGAGGACGCUAAUCCUAUGUGCGAGCGGCGGACCCCGCCCGGAUUUCCCGGAGGCGCCCGGUUAGUGAGGCGACGGCGCCCACCCGCGUUCGCGGGCUCCCGACCGCCACUCCCCGGAGCCGCCGGCCCGCCCCAGCCCCGCGCGUCGCCCCGGAGGGCGGGCUGCACUCCCUCCACGCACCUGGCUGGCAGAGCGUCUCCAGGGACAAAAGGUGCCCUGGCAUCAAAGCCGAGCCCCCGCCCCCGCCGGGAUGCUGCCCUCCGGAAGGAGGGGCGCUGCCCCCAAGGUACUCUCCCCGGGCACCCAGGGGGAGGUUCCAUUUCAACCUCCGAUGAAAAACACGGCCCUCCCGGGUAUUUAGGAGGGUCUGAGGGUAAGUGCCAAGAUGGAGAAAACACACCGGCCCCUCACAGAGUAUCUCCUGAGGAAUGACAACUAUCUAGUGGGCAAGGAGGGCUUCCUGCAUAGCAGAGGGCACCCCCUCUGAUCCCCCAACGCCAAGGGAAAAAAAUCACUCUUCACCGGCUCCCCUGAGCCAGGACAGGCUCCAGUGCAGCCACCCACCUUAUAAUUUUCCGCGGAUGCUGCCUUGAUCAGAUAGAUCUGAAGAUGACUUUAAGGACUACAAGCAAAUCUCAAGGGAAAAAUUCAGACCUUGAACAACAGCCUUGAACUUUUUCAGGGUUAGACAAGUACUCCCCUGUGGAGUUUCUGCCCUUAUUUCUUCGUUCUUCUGUUAAUUCUUCCAUAUUUUAACAGAACACAGACCUGCCGAAACGACACAGGAUGGCGCUUUGCUUUUUGUUAGUUCUCCAACCUUCCAAACCCUUGGGGCACAUGCAAGCACUGUGGAAAAACUCCAUUAAACCAAGAGUCAUCUUACUCCAGAUCCCAGACUGCUUGGGAAGUUGGACAUGCAUAUUCCCAAAGAGAACAGUGUUGGAAGGAGACAGGAGAGCAGCUCGGGGGUUGGGGGUAGAGGGUAGGAAAAGAGGGCAAGAUGGAUGACUACCACUCGAGGCCAGCCUCCACUGCCUGUUAGGGCAGUAGAACCUAAGAGCCGGUCCAAGGCAACACAAAAGACAGUGAGGCUAGGUCUUUCAUUGCAGCCAACGAUCAAGAAAGCAACUCCAUCAAAUGACACUGUCUUUUAAAAAAAAAUUUUUUUUUUGAGACAGAGUCUCGCUCUGUCGCCCAGGCUGGAGUGCAGUGGUGCGAUCUUGGCUCACUGCAACCUCUGCCACCCGGGUUCAAGCAGUUCUCCCUGCCUCAGCCUCCUGAGUAGCUGAGAUUACAGGCACGCGCUACCAGGCCCGGCUAAUUUUUUUUUUUUUUGGUGGAGUCGAGGUUUUGCCAUGUUGGCCACGUUGGUCUCGAAUUCCUGACCUCAGGUGAUCCGCCCAUCUCAGCCUCCCAAAGUGCUGGGAUUUCAAGCGUUAGCCACCGCGCCCGACCAAAUGACACUGUCUUAAAUGAUUUAAUGUCUUAAAUCGGGAAAGGAGAGUAAGAGAAAGCACUCAACGGAGUCAGAGGUGUCUUGCAGCCUAGCUCUUUCCACAGACAAGCUACAUGGGCCUAUCAUCUAACCUUUUCAAGCUUCUCCGACUGCUUCUGUGUUGGAGGGAUUUGGGCUAGAGGAUCUUUUUAUUUUUUUUUAUUUUAUUUUGGUGACGGAGUCUCUCACUGUCGCCCGGGCUGAAGUGCAGUGGCGCAAUCUCAGCUCACUGCAACCUCUUUCUCCUGGGUUCACGCGAUUCUCCUGCCUCAGCCUCCCAACUAGCUGGGAUUACAGGCGCACACCACCACACCUGGCCUAUUUUUUGUAUUUUUAGUAGAGACGGGGUUUCACUAUGUUGGCCAGACUGGUCUCGAACUCCUGACCUCGUGAUCUGCCCACCUCGGCCUCCCAAAGUGCUGUGAUUACAGGCAUGAGCCACCGCACCUGGCCUGUGAUCCCAUUUUUCAAAGUAAUUAGGCUGGGUGCAGUAGCUCACGCCUGUAAUCCCAGCACUCUGGGAGGCCAAAGCGGGUGGAUCACUUGAGGCCAGCAGUUCGAGACCAGCCUGGCCAACAUGGUGAAACCCUGUGUCUACUAAAAAUACAAAAAUUAGCUCGGCAUAGUGGCACGUACCUGUACUUUCAGCUACUUGGGAGGUUGAGGCAGGAGAAUUCGCUUGAACCCGGGAGGCAGAGGUUGCAGUGAGCCAAGAUGGCACCACUGCACUCCAUUCUGGGUGACAGAGUGAGACCCUGUCUCAAAAAUAAUGAUAAUAAAAUAAAAGUAAUUAUUUAAGGCUGGGAGCGGUGGCUCAUGCCUGUAAUCACAGCACUUUGGGAGGCCGAGGUGGGUGGAUCAUGAGGUCAGGAGGUCGAGACCAUCCUGUCUAACACAGUGAAACCCUGUCUCUACUAAAAAUACAAAAAAAUUAGCCAGGCAUGGUGGCGGGCGCCUGUAGUCCCAGCUACUCGGGAGGCUGAGGCAGGAGAAUCGCUUGAACCCAGAAGGCGGAGGUUGCAGUGAGCCGAGAUCGC
RNAcentral lists this long non-coding RNA (2929 nucleotides) under Homo sapiens (human). Its description in RNAcentral is "HSALNT0343267". The record is from RNAcentral. Lineage: Eukaryota; Metazoa; Chordata; Mammalia; Primates; Hominidae.